RNAcentral lists this ribosomal RNA (536 nucleotides) under uncultured bacterium. RNAcentral's name for it is "bacterial SSU rRNA". It matches the Rfam family "Bacterial small subunit ribosomal RNA", at positions 355 to 896 of the family's 1533-position model. The record is from RNAcentral.
UGGGGAAUAUUGCGCAAUGGGCGAAAGCCUGACGCAGCGACGCCGCGUGGGGGAUGAAGCUUCUCGGAGUGUAAACCCCUUUCGACCCGGACGAAUGACCCGCAAGGGUUUGACGGUACGGGUAUAAGAAGCCCCGGCUAACUACGUGCCAGCAGCCGCGGUAAUACGUAGGGGGCCAGCGUUGCUCGGAAUUACUGGGCGUAAAGGGUUCGUAGGUGGUGCGGCAAGUUGGAAGUGAAAUCUCUGGGCUUAACCCAGAGGCUGCUUUCAAAACUGCCGCGCUCGAGUGCGAGAGAGGCCAGUGGAAUUGCAGGUGUAGCGGUGAAAUGCGUAGAUAUCUGCAGGAACACCCGUGGCGAAGGCGGCUGGCUGGAUCGCAACUGACACUGAGGAACGAAAGCUAGGGGAGCAAACAGGAUUAGAUACCCUGGUAGUCCUAGCCCUAAACCAUCAGAACUUGGGGUGGCCCGCGUAGGCGGGUCGUCCCGUAGCUAACGCGUUAUGUUCUGCGCCUGGGGAGUACGGUCGCAAGACUG